UACGGAGGGUGCGAGCGUUGUCCGGAAUCACUGGGCGUAAAGGGCGCGUAGGUGGCGCGAGUAGUCAACGGUGAAAGCCCGGGGCUCAACCCCCGGGGUCGGCCGUCGAUACUCUCGUGCUUGAGCACUGUAGAGGCAGGUGGAAUUCCGGGUGUAGCGGUGGAAUGCGUAGAGAUCCGGAAGAACACCGGUGGCGAAGGCGGCCUGC
Molecule: ribosomal RNA, 208 nt
Filed under: uncultured bacterium
Lineage: Bacteria
Description: partial 16S ribosomal RNA
Rfam family: Bacterial small subunit ribosomal RNA
Source: RNAcentral